Molecule: long non-coding RNA, 1163 nt
Organism: Octopus sinensis (East Asian common octopus)
Lineage: Eukaryota; Metazoa; Mollusca; Cephalopoda; Octopoda; Octopodidae
Exons: 2
Source: RefSeq, a predicted model, not a curated record
CCAUCUCGAAAUACAACAGCAAUAAUAAUAAUAAUAAUAACUGAUUUUCUUCAUAAAUAUCAAAAUAUAUUAAAAGAGGCAAAGUACUAAUCAGAAAUUUGUGCUUUAAAAAAGAUGGUGCCGAUUGGGAGCAGGUAAGAAGAAAAAAGUAAGAAAAAAGUAAAAAUGAGAAAGAAUGUAAAGGAAUCUGCUCCCCCCCACACACACACACUUCACCCUACGCAUAACGAUUACUUAUCAUACUCACUCGCACCUGCGGUGGGGGAGCAAUGGCUGUUUUUUUUAUUCUGUGUCGAUACUUAUGACCUGUAUGGCAUUGAUGGAUCACUUUGAUAAAAAAAAAAAAAAACGUUUGGAACAGAAUUAUUUUUGUAAAUAUCUUCAGUGUGACUGGGUGUGUUUUUUUUUUUGUGUGUGUGUGUGUGUGUGCGUGUGUGCCUGAGUGUGUGUGUAUGCAUGAGGUUUUCUCUCAUUCUUUCAUACUUAAGACUAUGGACAAAUAGGAGGGCAAUUUGAAUUAUCUCAAACAGAAAAGAAAUGGAAAAAGACAAAAAAAAAAAAAAUAAAUAAAGACGUGGAGGAAUGAAAUUAAGAGGUGUGUACAUGUAUCUGUGUGUAUAUACAUAUGCACACACACAUCUAUACAGGUGUAUAUGUAUAAACGUUUAGAUGUAUAUGUUUCAAUACAUGUGCACUCACACAUAUAUAUGCAGGCAGGCUUAUACAUGCAAAUGUGUGUGUAUAUAUAUAUAUAUAUAUUUGUAUCUAUAUGUAUAAAGCAAUAUAUGCAUUUGUGCAGGCAAUGGCAAAAUAAACUGUUGUUUGGUAAAGAGCAGGUUUGUAUCAGAUAUAUCUGUAAAUCUUCAAGCAGUGUGUAUCUGUGUGUGUGUGUGUGUGUGUGUAUGCUUGUAGAUGACCGUGUGCAUGUGUGCACCUGUGAGUGUUGUGUAUAUGUGUGUAUGAGUUUGACUAUAAUUAUGACUGUGGCUAUGACCAACAGCCCAACAAAUACUUUAAACAAUGUGAUUUUAACCAGAACAUUUGAUAGCAUAUGGACAAGGAAAAUUAAAACAAACUACAUACUUUAUACACAUAUUGAAUGCAACACACACCCCGAUUUGUUAAUGUAAUGAUAACGAUAUUAAUAAAAAUGAUAAUAUUAA